CACAUACUCCCUCUGUCUGAAAUUACUUGUCUGAGAAAUGGAUGUAUCUAGACGUAUUUUGAUUCCAGAUACAUUCAUUUUUAUCCAUUUCGGUAACAAGUAAUUCCGGACAGAGGGAGUAUAUC
This is a non-coding RNA of Triticum aestivum (bread wheat), 125 nucleotides long. The record is from Rfam. Lineage: Eukaryota; Viridiplantae; Streptophyta; Magnoliopsida; Poales; Poaceae.